This 408-nucleotide ribosomal RNA is filed under the name uncultured bacterium. RNAcentral's name for it is "partial 16S ribosomal RNA". It matches the Rfam family "Bacterial small subunit ribosomal RNA", at positions 30 to 526 of the family's 1533-position model. The record is from RNAcentral.
AUUGAACGCUGGCGGCGUGCUUAACACAUGCAAGUCGAACGAAGUGGCGAACGGGUGAGUAACGCGUAAUCCACCUGCCCUUCAGAGGGGGACAACAGUUGGAAACGACUUCUAAUACCGCAUACUGAAGAUGGGGAUUGCGUCUGAUUAGCGAGUUGGAGGGGUAACGGCGCACCAAGGCGAUGAUCAGUAGCCGGUCUGAGAGGACGAACGGCCACAUUGGGACUGAUACACGGCCCAGAAUCCUACGGGAGGCAGCAGGGGGGAAUCUUGCGCAAUGGAAGAAAGUCUGACGGAGCAACGCCGCGUGAGUGAUGAUGGCCUUCGGGUUGUAAAGCGCUGUUAAUCGGGACGCGGUACCGGAAUAGAAAGCCACGGCUAACUACGUGCCAGCAGCCGCGGUAAUUC